Molecule: ribosomal RNA, 348 nt
Filed under: uncultured bacterium
Lineage: Bacteria
Description: bacterial SSU rRNA
Rfam family: Bacterial small subunit ribosomal RNA
Source: RNAcentral
AGAGUUUGAUCAUGGCUCAGGAUGAACGCUAGCUACAGGCUUAACACAUGCAAGUCGAGGGGCAGCAUGUUGGUUGCUUGCAACCAACGAUGGCGACCGGCGCACGGGUGAGUAACGCGUAUCCAACCUACCCUUGUCCAUCGGAUAACCCGUCGAAAGGCGGCCUAACACGAUAUGCGGUUCACAGCAGGCAUCUAACGUGAACGAAAUGUAAAGGAGAAGGAUGGGGAUGCGUCUGAUUAGCUUGUUGGCGGGGUAACGGCCACAAGGCGACGAUCAGUAGGGGUUCUGAGGAGGAAGGUCCCCCANAUUGGAACUGAGACACGGUCCAAACUCCUACGGGAGGCA